UUUGUGGAGAGUAUGAUACCGGCUCAGGACGAACGCUGGCGGCGUGGAUUAGGCAUGCAAGCCGAACGAGAAGCCGAGCUUCGGCUCGGUGGAAAGUGGCGAAAGGGUGAGUAACGCGUGGGUAAUUUACCUCUGAGAUGGGGAUAACAACUCGAAAGGGUUGCUAAUACCAAAUACGAUCCGGUUAACUUCGGUUGGCCGAAUGAAAGGUGGCUUCGGCUGCCGCUCGGAGAUAAGCCCGCGUCCUAUUAGUUAGUUGGUGAGGUAAUGGCUCACCAAGGCGACGAUGGGUAGCUGGUCUGAGAGGAUGGUCAGCCACAUUGGGACUGAGACACUGCCCAAACUCCUACGGGAGGCUGCAGUCGAGAAUAUUUCGCAAUGGGGGGAACCCUGACGAUGCGACGCCGCGUGGGGGAUGAAGGCCUUCGGGUUGUAAACCUCUGUGUUACGGGAUGAAUUGGAUGUUGCCGAUAAAGCAAUGUUUUUGACGUUACCGUAGUAGAAAGCCCCAGCUAACUACGUGCCAGCAGCUGCGGUAAUACGUAGGGGGCAAGCGUUGUCCGGAAUCACUGGGCGUAAAGCGCGCGUAGGCGGUGGAGUAAGUCAGACGUGAAAGGGUUCGGCUCAACCGAGCCAUUGCGUUUGAUACUACCUCACUUGAGUCUAGAAGAGGAAAGUGGAAUGUAUGGUGUAGCGGUGGAAUGCUUAGAUAUCAUAUAGAACACCCGUGGCGAAGGCGGCUUUCUGGUCUAAGACUGACGCUCAUGCGCGAAAGUUUGGGGAGCAACCGGGAUUAGAUACCCCGCUAGUCCUUACUGUAAACGAUGGGUACUA
Molecule: ribosomal RNA, 834 nt
Filed under: Candidatus Poribacteria bacterium
Lineage: Bacteria; Candidatus Poribacteria
Description: bacterial SSU rRNA
Rfam family: Bacterial small subunit ribosomal RNA
Source: RNAcentral